AGGAUAAACGCUGGCGGCGUGCUUAACACAUGCAAGUCGAACGGUGAAGUGAGGAGCUUGCUCCUUGCGGAUCAGUGGCGAACGGGUGAGUAACACGUGAGUAACCUGCCCUUGACUCUGGGAUAAGCACUGGAAACGGUGUCUAAUACCGGAUACGACCUCCGAAGGCAUCUUCUGGAAGUGGAAAGAAUUUCGGUCAAGGAUGGACUCGCGGCCUAUCAGCUAGUUGGUGAGGUAACGGCCCACCAAGGCGACGACGGGUAGCCGGCCUGAGAGGGUGACCGGCCACACUGGGACUGAGACACGGCCCAGACUCCUACGGGAGGCAGCAGUGGGGAAUAUUGCACAAUGGGCGCAAGCCUGAUGCAGCAACGCCGCGUGAGGGACGACGGCCUUCGGGUUGUAAACCUCUUUAGUAGGGAAGAAGCGAAAGUGACGGUACCUGCAGAAAAGCACCGGCUAACUACGUGCCAGCAGCCGCGGU
Molecule: ribosomal RNA, 484 nt
Filed under: uncultured bacterium
Lineage: Bacteria
Description: SSU rRNA
Rfam family: Bacterial small subunit ribosomal RNA
Source: RNAcentral